GACGAACGCUGGCGGCGUGCCUAAUACAUGCAAGUCGAACGCUGAAGGAGGAGCUUGCUUCUCCGGAUGAGUUGCGAACGGGUGAGUAACGCGUAGGUAACCUGCCUGGUAGCGGGGGAUAACUAUUGGAAACGAUAGCUAAUACCGCAUAACAGUAGAUAUCGCAUGAUAUCUGCUUGAAAGGUGCAAUUGCAUCACUACCAGAUGGACCUGCGUUGUAUUAGCUAGUUGGUGAGGUAACGGCUCACCAAGGCGACGAUACAUAGCCGACCUGAGAGGGUGAUCGGCCACACUGGGACUGAGACACGGCCCAGACUCCUACGGGAGGCAGCAGUAGGGAAUCUUCGGCAAUGGACGGAAGUCUGACCGAGCAACGCCGCGUGAGUGAAGAAGGUUUUCGGAUCGUAAAGCUCUGUUGUAAGAGAAGAACGAGUGUGAGAGUGGAAAGUUCACACUGUGACGGUAGCUUACCAGAAAGGGACGGCUAACUACGUG
RNAcentral lists this ribosomal RNA (495 nucleotides) under uncultured bacterium. Its description in RNAcentral is "partial 16S ribosomal RNA". It matches the Rfam family "Bacterial small subunit ribosomal RNA", at positions 28 to 507 of the family's 1533-position model. The record is from RNAcentral.